AUUGAACGCUGGCGGCAGGCCUAACACAUGCAAGUCGAACGGUAACAGGAAGAAGCUUGCUUCUUUGCUGACGAGUGGCGGACGGGUGAGUAAUGUCUGGGAAACUGCCUGAUGGAGGGGGAUAACUACUGGAAACGGUAGCUAAUACCGCAUAAUGUCGCAAGACCAAAGAGGGGGACCUUCGGGCCUCUUGCCAUCGGAUGUGCCCAGAUGGGAUUAGCUAGUAGGUGGGGUAACGGCUCACCUAGGCGACGAUCCCUAGCUGGUCUGAGAGGAUGACCAGCCACAAUGGAACUGAGACACGGUCCAGACUCCUACGGGAGGCAGCAGUGGGGAAUAUUGCACAAUGGGCGCAAGCCUGAUGCAGCUAUGCCGCGUGUAUGAAGAAGGCCUUCGGGUUGUAAAGUACUUUCAGCGGGGAGGAAGGGAGUAAAGUUAAUACCUUUGCUCAUUGACGUUACCCGCAGAAGAAGCACCGGCUAACUCCGUG
Molecule: ribosomal RNA, 490 nt
Filed under: uncultured bacterium
Lineage: Bacteria
Description: partial 16S ribosomal RNA
Rfam family: Bacterial small subunit ribosomal RNA
Source: RNAcentral